GGGGUUGUGGCUCAGAGGAAGAGCGCUUGCCUAUUAGUAUGAGGCACUGGGUUUGAUCCUCAGCAACACAU
RNAcentral lists this transfer RNA (71 nucleotides) under Marmota monax (woodchuck). RNAcentral's name for it is "tRNA.Undet". Lineage: Eukaryota; Metazoa; Chordata; Mammalia; Rodentia; Sciuridae. The record is from RNAcentral.